RNAcentral lists this ribosomal RNA (204 nucleotides) under uncultured bacterium. RNAcentral's name for it is "partial 16S ribosomal RNA". It matches the Rfam family "Bacterial small subunit ribosomal RNA", at positions 1297 to 1500 of the family's 1533-position model. The record is from RNAcentral.
AUUGCAGGCUGCAACCCGCCUGCAUGAAGUUGGAAUCGCUAGUAAUCGCGGAUCAGCAUGCCGCGGUGAAUACGUUCCCGGGCCUUGUACACACCGCCCGUCACACCAUGAGAGUCGGGAACACCCGAAGUCCGUAGCCUGACCGCAAGGGGGGCGCGGCCGAAGGUGGGUUCGAUAAUUGGGGUGAAGUCGUAACAAGGUACC